Molecule: unclassified non-coding RNA, 353 nt
Filed under: soil metagenome
Description: partial contains 5.8S ribosomal RNA, internal transcribed spacer 2, and large subunit ribosomal RNA
Rfam family: 5.8S ribosomal RNA (bases 1-120)
Source: RNAcentral
GAUGAAGAACGUAGCGAAAUGCGAUAAGUAAUGUGAAUUGCAGAAUUCAGUGAAUCAUCGAAUCUUUGAACGCACAUUGCGCCCGCCGGUAUUCUGGCGGGCAUGCCUGUUCGAGCGUCAUUACAACCCUCAGGCCCCCGGGCCUGGCGUUGGGGAUCGGCGGAAGCCCCCUGCGGGCACAACGCCGUCCCCCAAAUACAGUGGCGGUCCCGCCGCAGCUUCCAUUGCGUAGUAGCUAACACCUCGCAACUGGAGAGCGGCGCGGCCACGCCGUAAAACACCCAACUUCUGAAUGUUGACCUCGAAUCAGGUAGGAAUACCCGCUGAACUUAAGCAUAUCAAUAAGCGGAGGA